RNAcentral lists this ribosomal RNA (487 nucleotides) under uncultured Pseudomonadota bacterium. Its description in RNAcentral is "bacterial SSU rRNA". It matches the Rfam family "Bacterial small subunit ribosomal RNA", at positions 224 to 704 of the family's 1533-position model. The record is from RNAcentral. Lineage: Bacteria; Pseudomonadati; Pseudomonadota.
GAUGAGCCUAUGUCUGAUUAGCUAGUUGGCGGGGUAAAAGCCCACCAAGGCGACGAUCAGUAGCUGGUUUGAGAGAACGAUCAGCCACACCGGAACUGAGACACGGUCCGGACUCCUACGGGAGGCAGCAGUGGGGAAUAUUGGACAAUGGGCGAAAGCCUGAUCCAGCAAUUCCGCGUGUGUGAAGAAGGCCUUCGGGUUGUAAAGCACUUUAGGCAGGGACGAAAAAAUCGGCGUGAAUAACGCCGGUCUUGACGGUACCUGAAGAAUAAGCACCGGCUAACUCUGUGCCAGCAGCCGCGGUAAUACAGAGGGUGCAAGCGUUAAUCGGAUUUACUGGGCGUAAAGCGUGCGUAGGCGGUUCGCUAAGUCGGUUGUGAAAUCCCUGGGCUUAACCUGGGAACUGCAGUCGAUACUGGCGGACUAGAAUGCGGUAGAGGGUGGCGGAACUCCGGGUGUAGCGGUGAAAUGCGUAGAUAUCCGGAAG